CUCCAUAGUUCAAAGCUAGCCUGGUUAGUGUAUUGGGACAACUUCUCAGCCAUGGAAGAGGGUGUACUUGCUUACUGGUAGCACCGUCACCAUUGAACUGUAAUUAGAUUCUCACUUGGCACAAACAACAUUU
This is a small nucleolar RNA of Mus spicilegus (steppe mouse), 133 nucleotides long. Lineage: Eukaryota; Metazoa; Chordata; Mammalia; Rodentia; Muridae. The record is from Ensembl.